This is a non-coding RNA of Salmo salar (Atlantic salmon), 58 nucleotides long. The record is from Rfam. Lineage: Eukaryota; Metazoa; Chordata; Actinopteri; Salmoniformes; Salmonidae.
UGGCUCAGUUGGUAGAGCGUGGUGUUUGCAAUGCCAGGGUUGUGGGUUCGAUUCCCAC